GACGAACGCUGGCGGCGUGCUUAACACAUGCAAGUCGAACGGAAAGGCCCUGCUUUUGUGGGGUGCUCGAGUGGCGAACGGGUGAGUAACACGUGAGUAACCUGCCCUUGACUUUGGGAUAACUUCAGGAAACUGGGGCUAAUACCGGAUAGGAGCUCCUGCUGCAUGGUGGGGGUUGGAAAGUUUCGGCGGUUGGGGAUGGACUCGCGGCUUAUCAGCUUGUUGGUGGGGUAGUGGCUUACCAAGGCUUUGACGGGUAGCCGGCCUGAGAGGGUGACCGGCCACAUGGGGACUGAGAGACGGCCCAGACUCCUACGGGAGGCAGCAGGGGGGAAUAUUGCACAAUGGGCGGAAGCCUGAUGCAGCAACGCCGCGUGCGGGAUGACGGCCUUCGGGUUGGAAACCGCUUUCGCCUGUGACGAAGCGUGAGUGACGGUAAUGGGUAAAGAAGCACCGGCUAACUACGUG
Molecule: ribosomal RNA, 468 nt
Filed under: uncultured bacterium
Lineage: Bacteria
Description: partial 16S ribosomal RNA
Rfam family: Bacterial small subunit ribosomal RNA
Source: RNAcentral